AUGUCGGCGAAGACCACGGUGGUGUCAGCGCCGGGGAAGGCCAUCCUCCACGGGGAGCAUUCCGUGGUUCAUGGCAAGGUGGCCCUGGCAGUGGCUCUCAACCUGCGCACCUUCCUUCAGUUCCGCCCCGGCGACCCCGACCGGGUGACCGUCAGCUUGCCCAACCUCGGCCUCCGGCGGACCUGGGAGGUGUCCGACCUCCGCCGGGUCUUCCCCGAGCCUUUGGACCCGAACCCCUCGGCGGCCCCCGCCCCGGAGAAAAUGGAAAAGCUGAAGGAGUUUGCGGGUCUCGGGCCGGAGCCUCUGGACAGCCAGGGCCUGGCCCUCUUGGCUUUCCUCUAUUUAUACACGGCCAUCGGCGGGACGGACGGCGCCCGGCCGAACGUGGACGUGGUGGUGUGGUCCGAGCUGCCCCCGGGAGCCGGGUUGGGGUCCAGCGCCGCCUUCUCGGUCUGUUUGGCCGCCUGCCUGCUGCUGUCCUGCGGCCGAAUCCCCGACCCCCGGAAAGAAGGGGACGACGUGGGCAGGUGGACGGAGGAAGAGCUGGAGCUCAUUAACCUCUGGGCCUUUGUCGGGGAGAAGGUCAUUCACGGGAACCCGUCGGGCGUGGACAAUGCGGUCGCCACGUGGGGAGGAGCACUGAGAUACCAAACCGGGACCAUUUCACAUCUGACGAGGGUGCCGUCUCUGAGGAUCCUGCUGACCAACACCAAGGUUCCCCGGAGCACCAAGGCCCUGGUGGCCGGAGUCCACGAGAAGCUGUUGAAGUUCCCGAAGAUCUUGGCGCCACUGCUGACCUCGAUGGACGCCAUCUCCCAGGAGUGCGAGGGCCUGCUGGCCACCAUGGCCGAAGCCCCCGUCACAAGCCACUACGCGGUGCUGGAAGAGCUGAUGGAUCUGAACCAGCAUUUCCUGAACGCCCUGGGGGUGGGGCACCCCAGCCUGGACCGGCUGUGCCACGUGACGGCCGCCCACGGGCUGCACAGCAAGCUCACCGGGGCCGGCGGCGGAGGCUGUGCCAUCACCCUUCUCGGACCAGGUGUGGAGGCGAGUCAGGUGGAGGCCACCAAGAGGGACCUGCAGGACUGUGGAUACCAGUGCUGGGAGACCGCCAUCGGGGUGCCCGGCGUCACCCUCCACGCGCCGUCCUCCCUGACGACUGAGGUCCUGCGGGCCCUCGACGGCCUCUGACAGACUCGGCCCGCCCCCGGCUCGCUCCAACGGUCACCCCGCUGCCGUGGCUUCCGCUGCAAACGGCCGGCCCCUCUCUCCCCCCCAGCCUUGACACCGUUCCCUCUCCUCUGCGCCCGCGGAAACCCCGUGACGGGCGCAGUGGCGCAGCUCUUCCCAACCCAGACCUACCCGGCCCCAGCCUCCUCUGGCUGCUUCCCUCCCAACCCGCCCCCAUCCCCGUCGCCAACCGGCGUAGUAGAGGGACGCCGCGGCAGUGAUUGGAGUGGGAGGAUCAUUUCCCGUUAUCUUGGACCCGCAGACCGACGUCCGACACACUCCGGGCCUCGUGGGAUCCACCGUGGUGAUUUUUCUCCUACGAGCCAUUGCAGCCGGCCCCCAAAACGGGCCAUUUCGGGGUCCCGGCUAGCCCGCCCCCAGGACGUUCUCCACAGUCUCCUUUCAAUAUCAUCAUCAUC
RNA transcript from Tachyglossus aculeatus (Australian echidna), 1649 nucleotides. It is a transcript of the gene named mevalonate kinase, with no coding region annotated. The transcript has 11 exons. Lineage: Eukaryota; Metazoa; Chordata; Mammalia; Monotremata; Tachyglossidae. The record is from RefSeq and is a predicted model, not a curated record.